RNAcentral lists this ribosomal RNA (253 nucleotides) under uncultured bacterium. RNAcentral describes it as "partial 16S ribosomal RNA". It matches the Rfam family "Bacterial small subunit ribosomal RNA", at positions 524 to 776 of the family's 1533-position model. The record is from RNAcentral.
UACGUAGGGUGCAAGCGUUGUCCGGAAUUAUUGGGCGUAAAGAGCUCGUAGGCGGUUCGUCGCGUCGGCUGUGAAAACCCGGAGCUCAACUCCGGGCCUGCAGUCGAUACGGGCGGACUCGAGUUCGGCAGGGGAGACUGGAAUUCCUGGUGUAGCGGUGAAAUGCGCAGAUAUCAGGAGGAACACCGGUGGCGAAGGCGGGUCUCUGGGCCGUAACUGACGCUGAGGAGCGAAAGCGUGGGGAGCGAACAGG